Harmonia axyridis is the source of this 660-nucleotide long non-coding RNA. RefSeq lists it as uncharacterized. The transcript has 2 exons. NCBI's taxonomy places the organism in Eukaryota, Metazoa, Arthropoda, Insecta, Coleoptera, Coccinellidae. The record is from RefSeq and is a predicted model, not a curated record.
UUUUAAUAUUAUUUCUGCUUGGAGAAUGAAUGUACCGCUGAAGUGGAAUCGUCAGGUACACUUUCUAAUUGUUUUUGUCUUGUUCGCGAUUCUGGUAUUGAAUUGUGUUGGGGUGGUCAUUUCAAAUAAAUAUAUCAUUUCCCGCUCCUCAAGUAUAGGCAACCAAUAUAACAUCUUUUCUCGUCAAAUUGUCAAGUCGCAAAAACUUGUUUUGAAUCCCAUCUGUGAAAUAUAGAUACAUCAAUUGGAAGUCAUUUUUUCCGUAUUUCUCGAGUGUAGAGCAUCUCAGCUAAUCCAAAUAAAGAUUUUCUGUCUUCGACCAUUUGAGUUGGAUUAUUUGGAAAAUUGCAGAUAAUAUCAUAAUUUUGCUGAUUAUUUUGGAUAUUUAUAUCACGUUUUGGAAUCAAGCAGAAUUUCCGUCUUGUACGGGAUAAAAAUUCUACAUACUCUGAUAGAAAUUUCUAUAAAAGCCGCCCUCCAUCUUAGGCUUUCAAUUCUUCUGAAUAUUUUACUGAUUCGAUAUAUAAGUGGAUCAACCUGAAUUAUUGGCGUGUUGGUUGAUGCAAAGACAUCCCUUGGACAUAGGCACCCCCAUUGCCUUAUACUGAGGGUUGGAAUAACUUCUAACCGGUUGGGAGCGAACCGAAUUCAACAUUUCCA